CCUACGGGUUGCAGCAGUGAGGAAUAUUGGUCAAUGGGCGCGCGCCUGAACCAGCCAAGUCGCGUGAGUGAAGACGGUCCUAUGGAUUGUAAACCUCUUUUGUCGGGGAGCAAAAGACGCCACGCGUAGCGUUCCGAGAGUACCCGACGAAAAAGCAUCGUCUAACUCCGUGCCAGCAGCCGCGGUAAUACGUAGGAUUCGAGCGUUAUCCGGUUUUAUUGGGUUUAAAGGUUGCGCAGGCGGAAGAUCAAGUCAGCGGUAAAAUUGAUGGGCUCAACCUCGUCGAGCCGUUGAAACUGGUUGGCUUGAGUGAGGGAGAAGUAGGCGGAAUGCGUGGUGUAGCGGUGAAAUGCAUAGAGAUCACGCAGAACUCCGAUUGCGAAGGCAGCAUACCGGCGCUCAACUGACGCUGAUGCACGAAAGUGUGGGUAGCGAACAGGAUUAGAUACCCGUGUAGUC
Molecule: ribosomal RNA, 459 nt
Filed under: uncultured bacterium
Lineage: Bacteria
Description: partial 16S ribosomal RNA
Rfam family: Bacterial small subunit ribosomal RNA
Source: RNAcentral